This 379-nucleotide ribosomal RNA is filed under the name uncultured bacterium. RNAcentral describes it as "partial 16S ribosomal RNA". It matches the Rfam family "Bacterial small subunit ribosomal RNA", at positions 338 to 734 of the family's 1533-position model. The record is from RNAcentral.
CCUACGGGUGGCAGCAGUAGGGGAUAUUACUCAAUGGGGGAAACCCUGAUGCAGCAACGCCGCGUGGGGGAUGAAGCUUUUCGGAUCGUAAACUCCUUUUGUGAGGGAAGAUAAUGACGGUAUCUCAAGAAUAAGCACCGGCUAACUCCGUGCCAGCAGCCGCGGUAAUACGGAGGGUGCAAGCGUUAUCCGGAAUCACUGGGCGUAAAGAGUGCGCAGGCGGGCUUGUAAGUCAGAUGUGAAAUCCUGUAGCGUAACUACAGAACUGCAUUUGAAACUAUGAGUCUAGAGUGUGGGAGGGGCAGGUGGAAUUCUUGGUGUAGGGGUAAAAUGCGUAGAUAUCAAGAGGAAGACUCAUGGCGAAGGCGACCUGCUGGAA